GCACCGUUACCAUGGAAAUGUUCUCAACUGCACGUCUAGUGUUCUCUGAACGCCCCAUUUUUUUGUCAGCUGUUGUAAACAAAACAUUCUAAAACUAGCUAAUUUUAUCUCUCUUCUCAUGUCAACUGUUAUAGCUUCAUUAUUUGACAUCUAAACUCUAGAAAAUAUCAGUCAUGACAGGAAUAAAUCAACAUUAACUCCUGGCAAGCCUGUAUUUCCAGCCGCACCAUUGUCGAGUAGUGGAGCAGAAUACGAUCGUCUAAGGCUGGAGCCCUACUGGCAGCACUUGACUACAACCUUUGUAACCGUUGUCCAGCCUUGGAGAACGCGUAGGGCAACAAGAUUAUUUUGUCUUUCAGCUAAAGGAGACUACAAUAACAAGUCUCAAAAGUGACGUGUCCACGCAUUGAAAACUGCAAAGGAAUACACCUACAUCCCAGAACUUCAGAGAGCAGUGUUGAGAAGACUGGGCUCUCAAUAGGGUCUAGGAGAAUGAUCCAGAGAUCAGAUGACCAAAGACUCCAUGAAGUGGCACCAACAACUGAGCUGCUACAACUUCGAGGAGAUGUCACCACGCAGCACAGGAUACAGUUAGCAGCACACCUUUGAGCUGGGAAGGACUGGAGCAUUCCCUGUUGUCAGACUUGGUGCUUCCUGGAAAGUGUGAAAACCGACAGAGAACUCAGAAUUGUUUUUGAAAGAGGUGGGCCUACAAUCAAACAUAUAAAUAAGGGAAGUUUGUGUGGGAAACAAACUUGUGUGAGAAACAGUACUUGUGCAUUUAUCUAGCAUAUAGUCAUCAUUGUACUUUUGGAAUGGCUUUAGAAGAAUUUACUAAACUGUUAUUUUCCUGGAUAUCUACGCUCUUGACGGUUUACACUUCAAAUGAGCAGACCCACAGGUGGAUAGAUAUCCAGAAAGACGGACGGACUACCCUGGUGUAAAUGCAGUACAAAACAAGUCGGUCCGAUUAGACG
Salmo salar (Atlantic salmon) is the source of this 977-nucleotide long non-coding RNA. RefSeq lists it as uncharacterized. The record is from RefSeq and is a predicted model, not a curated record. Lineage: Eukaryota; Metazoa; Chordata; Actinopteri; Salmoniformes; Salmonidae.